AGGAACAUAGUUCAGUGGUAGAGCACAUGACUAGCAUGCAUGAGACCCUGGGCUCAAUCUCUAGUGCUGCCA
This 72-nucleotide transfer RNA is filed under the name Cavia porcellus (domestic guinea pig). It matches the Rfam family "tRNA". Rfam says of the family: Transfer RNA (tRNA) molecules are approximately 80 nucleotides in length. Their secondary structure includes four short double-helical elements and three loops (D, anti-codon, and T loops). The record is from Rfam by way of RNAcentral. Lineage: Eukaryota; Metazoa; Chordata; Mammalia; Rodentia; Caviidae.